ACGAACGCUGGCGGCGUGCUUAACCCAUGCAAGUCGAACGGAAAGGCCCUGCUUUUGUGGGGUGCUCGAGUGGCGAACGGGUGAGUAACACGUGAGUAACCUGCCCUUGACUUUGGGAUAACUUCAGGAAACUGGGGCUAAUACCGGAUAGGAGCUCCUGCUGCAUGGUGGGGGUUGGAAAGUUUCGGCGGUUGGGGAUGGACUCGCGGCUUAUCAGCUUGUUGGUGGGGUAGUGACUUACCAAGGCUUUGACGGGUAGCCGGCCUGAGAGGGUGACCGGCCACAUUGGGACUGAGAUACGGCCCAGACUCCUACGGGAGGCAGCAGUGGGGAAUAUUGCACAAUGGGCGGAAGCCUGAUGCAGCAACGCCGCGUGCGGGAUGACGGCCUUCGGGUUGUAAACCGCUUUCGCCUGUGACGAAGCGUGAGUGACGGUAAUGGGUAAAGAAGCACCGGCUAACUACGUG
This 467-nucleotide ribosomal RNA is filed under the name uncultured bacterium. RNAcentral describes it as "partial 16S ribosomal RNA". It matches the Rfam family "Bacterial small subunit ribosomal RNA", at positions 29 to 507 of the family's 1533-position model. The record is from RNAcentral.